RNAcentral lists this ribosomal RNA (503 nucleotides) under uncultured bacterium. RNAcentral describes it as "partial 16S ribosomal RNA". It matches the Rfam family "Bacterial small subunit ribosomal RNA", at positions 30 to 523 of the family's 1533-position model. The record is from RNAcentral.
AUUGAACGCUGGCGGCAGGCUUAACACAUGCAAGUCGAGCGGGGUGAUGGUGCUUGCACUAUCACUUAGCGGCGGACGGGUGAGUAAUGCUUAGGAAUCUGCCUAUUAGUGGGGGACAACAUCUCGAAAGGGAUGCUAAUACCGCAUACGUCCUACGGGAGAAAGCAGGGGAUCACUUGUGACCUUGCGCUAAUAGAUGAGCCUAAGUCGGAUUAGCUAGUUGGUGGGGUAAAGGCCUACCAAGGCGACGAUCUGUAGCGGUUCUGAGAGGAUGAUCCGCCACACUGGGACUGAGACACGGCCCAGACUCCUACGGGAGGCAGCAGUGGGGAAUAUUGGACAAUGGGGGGAACCCUGAUCCAGCCAUGCCGCGUGCGUGAAGAAGGCCUUAUGGUUGUAAAGCACUUUAAGCGAGGAGGAGGCUCUUUUGGUUAAUACCCAAGAUGAGUGGACGUUACUCGCAGAAUAAGCACCGGCUAACUCUGUGCCAGCAGCCGCGGUAA